GGGGCGCAGCAGGCGCGAAACCUCCGCAAUGUGAGAAAUCGCGACGGGGGGAUCCCAAGUGCCAUUCUUAACGGGAUGGCUUUUCUUAAGUGUAAAAAGCUUUUGGAAUAAGAGCUGGGCAAGACCGGUGCCAGCCGCCGCGGUAACACCGGCAGCUCUAGUGGUAGCUGUUUUUAUUGGGCCUAAAGCGUUCGUAGCCGGUUUGAUAAGUCACUGGUGAAAUCCUGUAGCUUAACUGUGGGAAUUGCUGGUGAUACUGUUGAACUUGAGGUCGGGAGAGGUUAGCGGUACUCCCAGGGUAGAGGUGAAAUUCUGUAAUCCUGGGAGGACCACCUGUGGCGAAGGCGGCUAACUGGAACGAACCUGACGGUGAGGGACGAAAGCUAGGGGCGCGAACCGGAUUAGAUACCCGGGUAGUCCUAGCCGUAAACGAUGCGGACUUGGUGUUGGGAUGGCUUUGAGCCGCUCCGGUGCCGAAGGGAAGCUGUUAAGUCCGCCGCCUGGGAAGUACGGACGCAAGACUGAAACUUAA
Molecule: ribosomal RNA, 532 nt
Filed under: uncultured archaeon
Lineage: Archaea
Description: bacterial SSU rRNA
Rfam family: Archaeal small subunit ribosomal RNA
Source: RNAcentral